RNAcentral lists this ribosomal RNA (277 nucleotides) under uncultured bacterium. RNAcentral describes it as "partial 16S ribosomal RNA". It matches the Rfam family "Bacterial small subunit ribosomal RNA", at positions 334 to 628 of the family's 1533-position model. The record is from RNAcentral.
GUCUCCUACGGGGGGCAGCAGUGGGGGAUAUUGCACAAUGGGGGAAACCCUGAUGCAGCGACGCCGCGUGUGGGAAGACGGUCCUCUGGAUUGUAAACCACUGUCCCCAGGGACGAAGAUGACGGUACCUGGGGAGGAAGCUCCGGCUGACUACGUGCCAGCAGCCGCGGUAAUACGUAGGGAGCAAGCGUUGUCCGGAAUUACUGGGUGUAACGGGAGCGUAGGCGGGAUGGCAAGUUGGGUGUUAACUCUACCGGCUCAACUGGUAGUUGCAGUC